Molecule: ribosomal RNA, 478 nt
Filed under: uncultured bacterium
Lineage: Bacteria
Description: partial 16S ribosomal RNA
Rfam family: Bacterial small subunit ribosomal RNA
Source: RNAcentral
GAUGAACGCUGGCGGCGUGCUUAACACAUGCAAGUCGAACGGGAAUUAUUUUAUUGAAACUUCGGUCGAUUUAAUUUACUUCUAGUGGCGGACGGGUGAGUAACGCGUGGGUAACCUGCCUUAUACAGGGGGAUAACAGUCAGAAAUGGCUGCUAAUACCGCAUAAGCGCACAGAGCUGCAUGGCUCAGUGUGAAAAACUCCGGUGGUAUAAGAUGGACCCGCGUUGGAUUAGCUUGUUGGCAGGGUAACGGCCUACCAAGGCGACGAUCCAUAGCCGGCCUGAGAGGGUGAACGGCCACAUUGGGACUGAGACACGGCCCAGACUCCUUCGGGAGGCAGCAGUGGGGAAUAUUGCACAAUGGGGGAAACCCUGAUGCAGCGACGCCGCGUGAAGGAAGAAGUAUCUCGGUAUGUAAACUUCUAUCAGCAGGGAAGAUAGUGACGGUACCUGACUAAGAAGCCCCGGCUAACUACGUG